RNAcentral lists this ribosomal RNA (1414 nucleotides) under uncultured Thermosporotrichaceae bacterium. Its description in RNAcentral is "bacterial SSU rRNA". It matches the Rfam family "Bacterial small subunit ribosomal RNA". Lineage: Bacteria; Bacillati; Chloroflexota; Ktedonobacteria; Ktedonobacterales; Thermosporotrichaceae. The record is from RNAcentral.
GAUAAACGCUGGCGGCGUGCCUAACACAUGCAAGUCGAACGCCCUCGCGCAAGCGAGGGAGUGGCGCACGGGUGAGUAACACGUGGGUACCUACCCCCAAGUGAGGAAUACCACCGGGAAACCGGUGACAAGACCGCAUACGUUCUCUCUUUGGGAGAGAGCAAAGCUUCUUCGGAGGCGCUUGAGGAUGGGCCUGCGGCCGAUUAGCUAGCUGGUGGGGUAAUAGCCUACCAGGGCGACGAUCGGUAGCUGGUCUGAGAGGACGAGCAGCCACACUGGGAUUGAGAACGGCCCAGACUCCUACGGGGGGCAGCAGUGAGGAAUUUUCGGCAAUGGGCGCAAGCCUGACCGAGCAACGCCGCGUGCAGGACGACGGCCUUCGGGUUGUAAACUGCUUUUCCCAGGGACGAGCAAGGACGGUACCUGGGGAACCAGCUCCGGCUAACUACGUGCCAGCAGCCGCGGUAAUACGUAGGGAGCAAGCGUUGUCCGGAGUUACUGGGCGUAAAGCGCACGUAGGCGGUCCAUCGCGUUGGUGCUGACAGCCGUCGGCUUCACUGACGGAGGCGUAUCAAAACGGAUGGACUCGAGGCUCAGAGGGGCAGACGGAAUUCCGGGUGGAGCGGUGAAAUGCGUAGAGAUCCGGAAGAACACCAAAGGCGAAGGCAGUCUGCUGGCUGAGCGCUGACGCUCAGGUGCGAAAGCUAGGGGAGCGAACAGGAUUAGAUACCCUGGUAGUCCUAGCUGUAAACGAUGACCACCAGGUAUGCGGGGUAUCGACCCCCUGCGUGCCGGCGCUAACGCACUAAGUGGUCCGCCUGGGGAGUACGGUCGCAAGAUUAAAACUCAAAGGAAUUGACGGGGACCCGCACAAGCAGCGGAGCGUGUGGUUUAAUUCGAUGCAACGCGAAGAACCUUACCAGGGUUUGACAUGCUCUCGCACCUCUUGGAGACAAGAGUGCCCGCAAGGGACGGGAGCACAGGUGCUGCAUGGCUGUCGUCAGCUCGUGCCGUGAGGUGUUGGGUUAAGUCCCGCAACGAGCGCAACCCCUGUCGCCGGUUGGGCUAUCCGGCGAGACUGCCACGAUCAACGUGGAGGAAGGUGGGGAUGACGUCAAGUCAGCACGGCCCUUACGUCCUGGGCUACACACACGCUACAAUGGCGCAGACAACGAGUGGCCAACCCGCGAGGGGGAGCUAAUCUUAGCAAACUGCGUCUCAGUUCGGAUUGCAGGCUGCAACCCGCCUGCAUGAAGUCGGAGUUGCUAGUAACCGUGAGUCAGCACAUCACGGUGAAUACGUUCCCGGGUCUUGUACACACCGCCCGUCACACCACGAAAGUCGGUCACACCUGAAGCCAUCGGGCUAACCCACUGGGAGGCAGAUGUCGAGGGUGGGGCUGGUGAUUGGGGUG